CUGUCGUGUCCGCCUCUGCACUGGGAUUCCUCCAGCCCCAGCAAGUCCCUCAGGUGGUCCCAGCCUCUGUGUCCGCCUCUGCUCUCCCAGAGCGCCUCAGGCAGAGCAGCCAGGAUGGGGACCAGGCCCGCCUUACCGGGAAUGAGCCUGUCACCUGCUCCUCCCACCCCGCAGCAGACAGAUGUGCAUAUAUCACUUCAAAAAAACAAAAGUGGAUGUGGCUGAUGCCAAAGUGACCUGCCCCAGAAGAGCUGCUAACAGAACAGCAUCCCAGGAGGCUGCAGAAGGCUGAAGAGCAGAGCCCACACCUGCUAUGGGCCACAAGAGGCCCUGGAUGCCAUGGAGGCCGCAAGGGCCCAGGCGGGACUUGCAGAAUGAGAGUCCUAGGCCCAAGUAUAGAGUCCCUGGUGGGCACAGAGGAGAGACCAGGUCAGUGGGAGGGGUUGUCAGACCCUGUGGAGUGCCCCACCUGUGUGCCAGGCCCAGAACUGGGCUCAACUCUGAUGGUAGCAGGUGGAAAGUAGACUUCACUACUGUGGGAGUGGGGGCAUUCCUGGACACAGGGGGAAACCAGCUCACAGAACAGCCUGGGGUCUUCUUGGAGGAGGCCAUUUUGGCCCAGAUCCUAAAGGAAGACUGGAAGCCUCAGGGGGCAGUGAGAACAGGGACAAGAGAGGGCAGGUCUCAGGACUGACUGAGCAACUCAGACUGACCUGGAUCAAACUGUGGAGCCGGCGAAGGGUUUAGAGGGUUGCUGCAGGACAGUGGUGUCUGCAAAGACGCCUCUGGCUGCUGUCUGGAAAAUAGACAGGGGAGGCUGGGCAGGGGUCUGGGCAGGGGCUGGACAGGGGUGCUGGGCAGGGGCUGGACAGGGGUGCUGGGCAGGGGCUGGACAGGGGUGCUGGGCAGGGGCUGGACAGGGGUGCUGGGCAGGGUCAGUCCAUCUCCAUCCUGCUUUCCUUUUCUUUCUUUUCAACAAAUAUUGAUGGAGCACCUCCUCGGUGCCAGGCGCUGCUGCAGCCUCUAGGAAAUCAACCGUGGAAACACACGGACCCUGCCCUCCCGGCGCCAGUGUUCUGGUGGUCAGGAGGUGAAGAAAACCAGCAAGAACCAGCACAGGAAUCCGACGGUGGCAGCGCCGAGAGAAACAAGCUUGGAGGGGAAGGAGAGCUACAGAGGCUGCAUGGAUGUGAUGGUUGGAGUGGAAGCUGACAUUGUGGGCCAGGAGACCCUGGGAGUACAGGCCAAGAUGAAAAGAGCCUCAAUCCAGAGCGUUCUGUGAAGCAGUCACCACGGCCACCCUGGGCCAUCAGCUUCUGGACUUUUACAACAUAGAAAUUAAAUUUCCAUUGAAUUUGUUGGA
This 1363-nucleotide long non-coding RNA is filed under the name Homo sapiens (human). RNAcentral's name for it is "MAFA antisense RNA 1, transcript variant 6 (MAFA-AS1)". Lineage: Eukaryota; Metazoa; Chordata; Mammalia; Primates; Hominidae. The record is from RNAcentral.